AUUGAACGCUGGCGGCAGGCCUAACACAUGCAAGUCGAGCGGAUGAAGGGAGCUUGCUCCUGGAUUCAGCGGCGGACGGGUGAGUAAUGCCUAGGAAUCUGCCUGGUAGUGGGGGAUAACGUCCGGAAACGGGCGCUAAUACCGCAUACGUCCUGAGGGAGAAAGUGGGGGAUCUUCGGACCUCACGCUAUCAGAUGAGCCUAGGUCGGAUUAGCUAGUUGGUUGGGUAAAGGCCUACCAAGGCGACGAUCCGUAACUGGUCUGAGAGGAUGAUCAGUCACACUGGAACUGAGACACGGUCCAGACUCCUACGGGAGGCAGCAGUGGGGAAUAUUGGACAAUGGGCGAAAGCCUGAUCCAGCAAUGCCGCGUGUGUGAAGAAGGUCUUCGGAUUGUAAAGCACUUUAAGUUGGGAGGAAGGGCAGUAAGUUAAUACCUGGCUGUUUUGACGUUACCAACAGAAUAAGCAACGGCUAACUUCGUG
RNAcentral lists this ribosomal RNA (484 nucleotides) under uncultured bacterium. RNAcentral describes it as "partial 16S ribosomal RNA". It matches the Rfam family "Bacterial small subunit ribosomal RNA", at positions 30 to 507 of the family's 1533-position model. The record is from RNAcentral.